AGGAGGAUUGGGCUAAAAAUUCCUUAGGAUAGGAUAGAUUCAUACCCGGGGGUCGACUAUUUGUGAGACAGGGUCGAAAUCAGACCUUUGGCUACUAAAACGAUGGCUUAGGGCAAAAUAGGGUCUCAUUCAAAGAUCGAAGGUUAGAUUUUGAGAGCUAGCUUGAAGUUCUUUUUAGAGACAUAAGAAUUGUUUUGAGAGGGUUUUGGAAGACUUAGCAAUUGUUGUUCAAAGUCAGGGUUUAUAUCAAAGAUUUGGAUUUUAUAUAAUAUAAUUAGGGCUAGAAAUUUUGGCUAGUUCGUACAAUUGGCAUGACAUCUAUGGUUGAAAAUUUGAAAUUAUUUGGAUUAUUGGAUGUGCUAAGUUUAUACAAAAUUUUGCGAUAAUCUAACAGCGUGGAUUAGAGAUAUCUAGUUUUUAGCACAAGAAGAUUUCAGAAGGUAGCAGUUUGAAGUUGGGUAGGGUUUCUAUGAUAUCUAAAGAUCUAUCAGUCGGAUUAAGGUGAAAAUUGGCAUAGUAUUGAAGGACCUUAAGAUCAAGCUACACACCAAUUUUGAGACAAAGUUAACGGUUAAAGAAGGAAAAAUCAUUG
This 592-nucleotide long non-coding RNA is filed under the name Physcomitrium patens. RNAcentral describes it as "long non-coding RNA (PPAT_LNC010549)". Lineage: Eukaryota; Viridiplantae; Streptophyta; Bryopsida; Funariales; Funariaceae. The record is from RNAcentral.